Molecule: ribosomal RNA, 508 nt
Filed under: uncultured bacterium
Lineage: Bacteria
Description: partial 16S ribosomal RNA
Rfam family: Bacterial small subunit ribosomal RNA
Source: RNAcentral
GACGAACGCUGGCGGCGUGCCUAAUACAUGCAAGUCGAACGCUUCUUUCCUCCCGAGUGCUUGCACUCAAUUGGAAAGAGGAGUGGCGGACGGGUGAGUAACACGUGGGUAACCUACCCAUCAGCGGGGGAUAACACUUGGAAACAGGUGCUAAUACCGCAUAACAGUUUAUGCCGCAUGGCAUAAGAGUGAAAGGCGCUUUCGGGUGUCGUUGAUGGAUGGACCCGCGGUGCAUUAGCUAGUUGGUGAGGUAACGGCUCACCAAGGCCACGAUGCAUAGCCGACCUGAGAGGGUGAUCGGCCACACUGGGACUGAGACACGGCCCAGACUCCUACGGGAGGCAGCAGUAGGGAAUCUUCGGCAAUGGACGAAAGUCUGACCGAGCAACGCCGCGUGAGUGAAGAAGGUUUUCGGAUCGUAAAACUCUGUUGUUAGAGAAGAACAAGGACGUUAGUAACUGAACGUCCCCUGACGGUAUCUAACCAGAAAGCCACGGCUAACUACGUG